This 484-nucleotide ribosomal RNA is filed under the name uncultured beta proteobacterium. Its description in RNAcentral is "bacterial SSU rRNA". It matches the Rfam family "Bacterial small subunit ribosomal RNA", at positions 30 to 509 of the family's 1533-position model. Lineage: Bacteria; Pseudomonadati; Pseudomonadota; Betaproteobacteria. The record is from RNAcentral.
AUUGAACGCUGGCGGUAUGCUUUACACAUGCAAGUCGAACGGGCUUUGGGGCUUGCUCCAAAGUUAGUGGCGAACGGGUGAGUAAUAUAUCGGAACAUGUCCGGAAGUGGGGGAUAACGUAGCGAAAGUUACGCUAAUACCGCAUAUGCCCUGAGGGGGAAAGGGGGGGAUCGCAAGACCUCUCGCUUUCGGAGUGGCCGAUAUCGGAUUGGCUAGUAGGUGAGGUAAAGGCUCACCCAGGCGACGAUCCGUAGCUGGUCUGAGAGGACGACCAGCCACACUGGAACUGAGACACGGUCCAGACUCCUACGGGAGGCAGCAGUGGGGAAUUUUGGACAAUGGGCGCAAGCCUGAUCCAGCCAUACCGCGUGAGUGAAGAAGGCCUUCGGGUUGUAAAGCUCUUUCAGCCGGAAAGAAAUCGCACUGGUUAAUACCUUGUGUGGAUGACGGUACCGGAAGAAGAAGCACCGGCUAACUACGUGCC